RNAcentral lists this ribosomal RNA (574 nucleotides) under uncultured bacterium. Its description in RNAcentral is "partial 16S ribosomal RNA". It matches the Rfam family "Bacterial small subunit ribosomal RNA", at positions 355 to 920 of the family's 1533-position model. The record is from RNAcentral.
UGGGGAAUAUUGGACAAUGGGGCGCAAGCCUGAUCCAGCAAUGCCGCGUGUGUGAAGAAGGCCUUCGGGUUGUAAAGCACUUUAUCAGGAGCGAAACGCUGUCGGCUAAUACCCGGCGGAACUGACGGUACCUGAGGAAUAAGCACCGGCUAACUUCGUGCCAGCAGCCGCGGUAAUACGAAGGGUGCAAGCGUUAAUCGGAAUUACUGGGCGUAAAGCGUGCGUAGGCGGUUUCUUAAGUCUGCUGUGAAAUCCCCGGGCUCAACCUGGGAAUGGCAGUGGAUACUGGGAGGCUAGAGUGUGUCAGAGGGUGGUGGAAUUCCCGUGUAGCGGUGAAAUGCGUAGAGAUCGGGAGGAACAUCAGUGGCGAAGGCGGCCACCUGGGACAACACUGACGCUGAGGCACGAAAGCGUGGGGAGCAAACAGGAUUAGAUACCCUGGUAGUCCACGCCCUAAAGCGAUGCGAACUGGAUGUUGGUCUCAACUCGGAGAUCAGUGUCGAAGCUAACGCGUUAAGUUCGCCGCCUGGGGAGUACGGUCGCAAGACUGAAACUCAAAGGAAUUGACGGGGUC